This 1894-nucleotide long non-coding RNA is filed under the name Anas platyrhynchos platyrhynchos (common mallard). Its description in RNAcentral is "lncRNA (ENSAPLG00000017259.1)". The record is from RNAcentral. Lineage: Eukaryota; Metazoa; Chordata; Aves; Anseriformes; Anatidae.
AUGGAAGAACAAGGAGAGCUUGAUACGGGUCUGCUGAAGCUCUGCUGGUAUCUAGGAAGGGUUUCUGGAGCUUCUGGUGUUGGUGUGUGGAGCAAAGCCAUGUUACCAUCAAGUGUGCUGCAGCUUUGGGAGCAGCGAAGAGCUCUGCAGGUCUGUAGUGAAGCCAGGUGGAAAGCGACUGCAGACAACUCCCCCUCCUCUCCAACAAAUGAACCCCCACCCGUGCUUCACGUGGUAGGAAAUGUCCUGCUUAUUAGACACUGGAGAAUCCACAGCCAGACUACAUCCUGGGGAAACUUUCUAGAAACCCAGGAGAAGCCAAAGGAGGAAAGAUUUUUUGAUCCAAAAGAAUCAGGGGAGCCUUACCUCUUCCGCACUCUUGGCUGGCAAGCAGGCAGAGCAGAAGAUAAAGUCUGCGUUCCCCAAAGAGAGGUGACCAUCAGGAAAAGUUAUAUUCUCCCACUGUCAUAUUGCCUCAAAAGGACCUUCACCCAGAGGACCAAAAUGGAGGAAAAUCAACACCUUUUCCGGACGUUUUGGCUGCUAUCUCCUGAUCUCUGCUGGCAGGGAAGCGGGAGUGUGUCUGGCAGCACAACCUCCGAGAAGAGGCUGUUAUCUCAGCAUCUUUCCUGCGGGACUGCUCGGCUGGUGUGUCGCCAGGUUGCUGCAGAGCGCAGGAGCCCUGGUCAUGGACGAGGACAGCCUGGUAUAAGACUGUGCAAAUACAGAAGCAAUCAACAGUGCCCAUCUGAGAUGCAGCAAAGUCAUCAAAACUUCCCUUUUUCUCCAUCUCUUCUCCCUGCUAAUUGCUUGGGUCCUGGGUGUCAGGCUGCUGCAUCACCACGAUGGCAUGGAUUGUUUGUUGUGUGGGCUCGUAAGAAUUUAAAUAAAUAAUUAAAUCCUGUGCACACCCCUGAAUUGUGUUAUAUAAAGUACCUUCAUGAUAUUUUAAAGAAGAAACUGCACAGUGGCAUGAAGGUGUCACUCCACACAUCACCCAAACCUGUUCUCUUCCCCCACUCCCAGCAAGGGCAUACUUGUGCAAUUGCUUUCGUUUAAAAGCAUUUAAUGCACAUGAUGGUGGUAAGAACAUGUUCUUCUGGGAGCGAUGAGUGAAAUGCACUCCUGAACAGCUGAACGAUUUAAUCCCAGGGAGUGCCUCAUCUUUAUGUUUAUCUAUUUGGUUGGUUGGUGUGUGUGCGCGUGUUGUUGUUACUCUCUGACGUGGUUUCUGGGUAUCACAGAUUUUGUUUCCGUUUAUUUUUUAACCUCACCACUGUUCCCCAUAAUUCAAUGAAAUCACACACCAGCUCUGGAGGCGUUUUAAAAAAAAAAAUAGGGCAAGGUUUCUCCAAGCACCCAGAUCCUGGCACUGUCUUAGCCCCUUGGCAUGGGCAAACAAUUGCAGGCAACUGAGCAGCUUGAUCAGAUAAUGGCCCCCAGCUGGCAUGCAGCUACUGCCCACCACUGCGUUUUGAGGCUGCUCUAACUGAAAUGCCCUUUCGAGGUGUGGAGUCCAGCUCUCCCAAGCAACCCCAAUGCAGUUUUUGUUGUUUUAACCCCAUGUCCUGAAAGGGAAGGAGUGGUCAGCUUGAAAGGAAGAGAAUGGAAAUUUGGUCUCCCUCUGCGGUUAAUAUAAGUACCUCAAACUGUUCCAAGACUCCCACCUUCAAGGGUGGUGAAUGUAAAACCUCACCCAAUACCUUUGGGAGUGUGAGAGGGGAUCACCCUGGUACUGAUGAGCUUAAAAGCCAAGGGAUAAUUGUCCCCACAAGGUGAAGCUUGGGGAUGCCCACCCUGUGCCUGGGAUGCUGGCAGGAUGGGUGACAACAGUAGGGCAAAGCCCCUCAGGCACAAGUGGAUUUUUUUCUUUUAUCCUUUCAAAGCACUUUUC